UUAUUAUUUUAGCUUUAUAUUUUUUUUCGUAUGAGAAAAACGCGACGAGGAUUAUUGAGCCAUUCAAUAAUUAUUAUUUCCAAGUUAUAACUGACUUAGCAAAGUCAUGUUAUUUAUUAAUCGAAAAACAGAAGCAGUUAUAUUUUAUUAGUGCUACUAGAAGUCGAGAAAUUAUUCCGACUGCAACGCAGAUUAAAUCUACGGAUUUAAUCUAGAUUCAUAUUACAGUAUUAGCAUCACCAAGGCAUGAGGAUAUACUUCAUUUAUUCAUCAAUAUCAUUCUCAUACUUUACAAACUCUUACAAUCAAUUUUCGUUCAUACCUUCCAAUUACACCACAAUAAUUUGGCAUUUGCAUAAAGAAGAAAAGAGAAAGAAGAAUAGGAAAAGGAAAAAGGAAAAGUGUUGCCACCAUCCUUUGCUCCCCUCCUUUCCUUCCACCAUCUACCACUUUAUACCAUGCCCUUUAUUCCCACACAUCUAUCAAUUCAUAAGUUUUCUCUCGCAACCAAGAAUUUCAUCAACUGGAUGAUCCGAACUUCCAUCGUCCAUCAAAUUAAUAACAGCAACAACGGGAUCUUUUCAUAAAAGGUUUCAUUCUUCAAUUCAAUUAAUAUGUCAAUUUCCUUAAAGCCAAAACAUUCAGGUUUUCAACAGCUCAACUUAAGGUUCCAUCUUGUAACCUUCUCGCCGAUUUCAUUUUUACAGUAUGUUAUAAACAACCAAUUGUUUCAGUUUCAACUCACCACAUGAACAAGAACAUUCAAGGUCAAGCGCGAGAGUAAGAACUACACAAGGAGUUAGAGUACCUUAGCAAAACUUUGCUAUCAGGUUGAGCUGUGAUGGGCGAUGAAGUGUUGUUGCUGAGUGGAGUUUUUGUCGAACUUAAAGUAGGCUCAGAAAGGGUACAUGUCUUCAUACAUGUAUCUCAGUUAUGCAUUCCGCUGUAAACACUGAUUAUUUCA
Molecule: long non-coding RNA, 964 nt
Organism: Salvia miltiorrhiza (redroot sage)
Lineage: Eukaryota; Viridiplantae; Streptophyta; Magnoliopsida; Lamiales; Lamiaceae
Exons: 3
Source: RefSeq, a predicted model, not a curated record